AGUGGGAUAGUUGGGUCAAAUGGUGGUUCAAUUCCAAGUUUUUUAAGGAAUCUCCAUACUGCUUUCUAGACCGACUGCACCAAUUUGCAGUUCCACCAGCAAU
This 103-nucleotide microRNA precursor is filed under the name Marmota monax (woodchuck). Lineage: Eukaryota; Metazoa; Chordata; Mammalia; Rodentia; Sciuridae. The record is from RNAcentral.